CAGCAGCCGCGGUAAUACGAAGGGUGCAAGCGUUACUCGGAAUUACUGGGCGUAAAGCGUGCGUAGGUGGUGGUUUAAGUCGGAUGUGAAAUCCCUGAGCUUAACUUAGGAAUUGCAUUCGAUACUGGGAAGCUAGAGUAUGGGAGAGGAUGGUAGAAUUCCAGGUGUAGCGGUGAAAUGCGUAGAGAUCUGGAGGAAUACCGAUGGCGAAGGCAGCCAUCUGGCCUAAUACUGACGCUGAGGUACGAAAGCAUGGGGAGCAAACAGGAUUAGAUACCCGGGUAGUCCCUGUCUCUUAUAA
Molecule: ribosomal RNA, 301 nt
Filed under: uncultured bacterium
Lineage: Bacteria
Description: partial 16S ribosomal RNA
Rfam family: Bacterial small subunit ribosomal RNA
Source: RNAcentral